GCAAACUUGGUCAUUUAGAGGAAGUAAAAGUCGUAACAAGGUUUCCGUAGGUGAACCUGCGGAAGGAUCAUUAACGAGUUAGGGUCCACUCGGCCCGACCUCCCAACCCUUUGUCUACCACACCGCGUUGCUUCGGCUGGCCCGUCUACGGACCGCCGGGGGGCCGUGAUACGCCCUCUGGCCCGCGCCUGCCGAAAGCCCAACCACAAAUACUUUUGAUAAUCGUGUCGUUGUCUGAGUACAAAACAUUUUAAAUAAAGCAAAACUUUCAACAACGGAUCUCUUGGUUCUGGCAUCGAUGAAGAACGCAGC
RNAcentral lists this unclassified non-coding RNA (312 nucleotides) under uncultured fungus. RNAcentral describes it as "partial contains small subunit ribosomal RNA, internal transcribed spacer 1, and 5.8S ribosomal RNA". The stretch from base 1 to 73 matches the Rfam family "Eukaryotic small subunit ribosomal RNA", at positions 1759 to 1831 of the family's 1831-position model. Lineage: Eukaryota; Fungi. The record is from RNAcentral.